This 280-nucleotide ribosomal RNA is filed under the name uncultured bacterium. RNAcentral describes it as "partial 16S ribosomal RNA". It matches the Rfam family "Bacterial small subunit ribosomal RNA", at positions 75 to 353 of the family's 1533-position model. The record is from RNAcentral.
CUUGCAAACUGGAGGUGGCGACCGGCGCACGGGUGAGUAACACGUAUCCAACCUGCCGAUAACUCGGGGAUAGCCUUUCGAAAGAAAGAUUAAUACCCGAUGGCAUAAUAGAACCGCAUGGUUUGAUUAUUAAAGAAUUUCGGUUAUCGAUGGGGAUGCGUUCCAUUAGGCAGUUGGUGGGGUAACGGCCCACCAAACCUUCGAUGGAUAGGGGUUCUGAGAGGAAGGUCCCCCACAUUGGAACUGAGACACGGUCCAAACUCCUACGGGAGGCAGCAUG